AAUCAAGCUUUAAAGGGCACAGAGUGGAUGCCUUGGUGCCAACAGGCGAUGAAGGACGUGAUAAGCUGCGAUAAGCUUCGGGGAGCCGCAAAUUGGCGAUGAUCCGGAGAUUUCCGAAUGGGGUAACCUGACGGGGUUAGAGCCUCGUCGUCUCUUCCUGAAUGAAAUAGGGAAGAGUUCGCGAUACCCGGUGAAGUGAAACAUCUCAGUAACCGGAGGAAAAGAAAUCAACCGAGAUUCCGUAAGUAGUGGCGAGCGAACGCGGAGCAGCCCAACCAAUAGUGACCAGUAAGGAUAGUGUAAGUGUUUGGAACGACACGGCAAAGAGGGUGAGACUCCCGUGCGCGAAAUCUGAGCUGGCUAGGUGCAAGUAACACACCACACGUGGAACGGUGUGUGAAGAUGGGGGGACCACCCUCCAAGGCUAAAUACUCGUUGGCGACCGAUAGUGAACCAGUACCGUGAGGGAAAGGUGAAAAGAACCGCUGUGAGCGGAGUGAAAUAGAACCUGAAACCCUGUGCCUACAAGGUGUAGGAGCAGCUUUGGCUGUGACUGCGUGCCUUUUGCUUAAUGAGUCUGCGAGUUGGUAUCUGUGGCGAGCCUAAGUCUUUUUGGGACGGAGGCGAAGCGAAAGCGAGUCCGAAUAGGGCGAAUGAGUUGCAGGUGCCGGACCCGAAGCGGAGGUGAUCUACCCUUGGCCAGGUUGAAGCGUCGGUAAUACGACGUGAAGGACCGAACCGGUGAAUGUUGAAAAAUUCUCGGAUGAGCUGAGGGUAGGAGUGAAAGGCUAUUCAAACCCCGUGAUAGCUGGUUCUCCUCGAAAUGCAUUGAGGUGCAGCGUCGCGUGCUGACCAUUGGGGGUAGAGCACUGAAAAGGCUAGGGCCCAUACCCGGGUACCAAACCUUAUCAAACUCCGAAUACCAGUGGGUGGAGCGCGGCAGUGAGACGGUGGGGGAUAAGCUUCAUCGUCAAAAGGGAAACAACCCUGAUCAGCAGCUAAGGUGCCUAAACCAUGCUAAGUGGAAAGGAUGUGGAGUUUCACAGACAGUGAGGAUGUUGGCUUAGAAGCAGCCACCAUUUAAAAAAUGCGUAAUAGCUUACUCAUCGAGAGACUCUGCGCCGAAAAUGAUUGGCGAUUAAGCAUGGUACCGAAGCUCUGGGCUUUGCGUAAGCGGAGCGGUAGAGGAGCAUUCUCAACGCAUAGAAGCUGGAUGGCGACUGAAAGUGGAGUGUUGAGAAGAGAGGAUGCAGACAUGAGUAACGAUAAGACCGGUGAAAUCCCGGUCCGCCGUAAACCCAAGGUUUCCAGGGCUACGUUUUUCGUCCCUGGGUUAGUCGGGACCUAAGCCGAGGCGGAUACGCGUAGGCGAUGGACAGCAGGUUAAUAUUCCUGCACUUGCGACCCUUAAACAGGGGGGACGCAUGAUGGAUUGCAAUUAGGUGAAUGAAUUCCGAGGUGAGGCUACGGCUGAUCCGCAUUGCAAGAGAUUGUGCCAAGAAAAGCCCCUGCGUAUGCUAAGCGACCCGUACCGUAAACCGACACAGGUGGGUGGGAUGAGUAUUCCAAGGCGCAAGAGUGAACCCUGGUUAAGGAACUCGGCAAAUUAGCCCCGUAACUUCGGAAGAAGGGGUGCCCCCUUAGGGGGGCCGCAGUGACCAGGCCCAACCGACUGUUUAGCAAAAACACAGCAUUCUGCCAAGACGCUAAGUCCAAGUAUAGGAUGUGACACGUGACCAAUGCGGAAAGAUUAAGAUGAGAUGUUAGCUUUCGGGCGAAGCUUCGAGUCCAAGUCCCCGUGAAUGUCGGCCGUAACUAUAACGGUCCUAAGGUAGCGAAAUUCCUUGUCGGGUAAGUUCCGACCUGCACGAAUCGUGUAACGAGUUGGGCGCUGUCUCAACCAGGUGCUCAGUGAAAUUGUAAUGGCGGUGAAGAUGCCGCCUACCCGCAGAAGGACGGAAAGACCCUAUAGACCUUAACUGUAAGCUGUCAUUGGUUCUUCGAUUCUCAUGCUCAGCAUAAGUGGGAGACGUUGAAGAGGCCCUUUAGGGGGUUUCGGAGUCGCCAGUGAGAUACCACCCUUGGGUGUUGGGGAAUCUAACCACGGUCCGUGAAACCGGACGUGGAACAGUGUCAGCCGGUCAGUUUUACUGGGGCGGUAUCCUCCCAAAGAGUAACGGAGGAGCGCGAAGGUGGGUUCAGCACGGUUUGCAACCGUGUGUCGAGUGCAUGGGCAUAAACCCGCCUAACUGCGAGGCCUACAAGCCGAGCAGAGACGAAAGUCGGCCCAAGUGAUCCGGCGGUAGAAUGUGGAAUUGCCGUCGCUCAACGGAUAAAAGGUACCUUAGGGAUAACAGGCUGAUUUCGCCCAAGAGUUCAUAUCGACGGCGAAGUUUGGCACCUCGAUGUCGGCUCGUCGCAUCCUGGGGCUGGAGAAGGUCCCAAGGGUCCGGCUGUUCGCCGGUUAAAGCGGCACGCGAGCUGGGUUCAGAACGUCGCGAGACAGUUCGGUCCUCUAUCCUCUGUGGGCGCAGGAAAACUGAGGGGUUCAAUUCCUAGUACGAGAGGACCGGGAUUGACGCACCUCUGGUGCACCGGUUGUCGUGUCAACGGCAUGGCCGGGUAGCUAAGUGCGGGCCUGAUAAGCGCUGAAAGCAUCUAAGCGCCAAGCAGUUCCCAAGAUGAGUUUUCCCUGAAGGAUCGUGGAAGACGACCACGUUGAUAGGGUGUAGGUCGAAGUCUGGUAACAGAUGUAGCCGAGCACUACUAAUCAUCCGUAUGGCUUGAUUCC
This 2791-nucleotide ribosomal RNA is filed under the name Haloferula luteola. RNAcentral's name for it is "Verrucomicrobia bacterium YC6886 Bacterial large subunit ribosomal RNA". It matches the Rfam family "Bacterial large subunit ribosomal RNA". The record is from Rfam by way of RNAcentral. Lineage: Bacteria; Pseudomonadati; Verrucomicrobiota; Verrucomicrobiia; Verrucomicrobiales; Verrucomicrobiaceae.